This is a long non-coding RNA of Hordeum vulgare subsp. vulgare (domesticated barley), 651 nucleotides long. RefSeq lists it as uncharacterized. Lineage: Eukaryota; Viridiplantae; Streptophyta; Magnoliopsida; Poales; Poaceae. The record is from RefSeq and is a predicted model, not a curated record. The transcript has 2 exons.
GCAGUAUUACAGUACUACUAGUACCGUCUGCAUUCUGUUUGCUGCAUUUUUUUUUUGUUUUCAGGAUGGGGUCAUAUACGGGCGUGGUUCCUCAGCAAUGUCGGAGCUGGCGAGCUCGUCCUUCGGCGUGCCGCCAGAUCCGUUUGAGCCGUGCACGAUUCAUGCGUGCUUUUGGUGUUUCUAUUAGGGGAUUCAUUUUCUUGGCCCGGAACUCUAGAUUGGGCGACCUAGGGUUUCGUAUUGGAGGAGACAGAUUCAACGUAGCCCUCAAAUGUCUUACACUGAACCUAGAGGAAUAAGUCUGGGCGAGAUGGAUAUUCCAUCUUGUUCUAGCAAGCUUGAAUCAUUCUAGGGUGCAUGAGGAAUUUCUGGUGGAUGUGCGCUCCUCAACUUCCACCGGCAAAUUUUAGUUGUACUUGUACAUCUUGGCACAUCUUACACGAAUUUUUAAUUGCAACUUUUUUUAGUCACCAGCUUUUCCAUGUGGAGAUUUUCAGAUAGUGUCUUAGGUGGCCUUGGCUGUGAGGAUCGUGCAAGUUUGACUUUUUAGGAUCCUUUUUUUACAUAUUGUGUGGCUGGUCGAUACGCAGUUGAGAUCUGGUGAUCUUUGUCAACACUUCUUGGGCAUCAGCUGGAAUUUCCGUGCGGAUA